UAUCGGUGAUCUUUACCACCCAUUAUGACAUAUUAGGGACGCCCCCUUUCUAAAUAGCGAUGAACUACUCGGAUACAAUCUAAUCGAUCAACCAUCCCAUUUCCGGAUGGUUCCGCUACUAGAUAUCGACCAGACUCUCCUACUAGUCGGUGUGACCUUGACUCUAUGCCAGGUCUGAGGAUGCCCUCCGUCGUCACCCCUUAUAACCUGUUACCCGCGUUCGGACUAGGUCGAUACGGCGCACUCACUCCUUCCGGAAUCCCAACAUUUUGAGAAAGUCAUCCCUUCUAUUACU
This 295-nucleotide ribosomal RNA is filed under the name Anaplasma phagocytophilum. RNAcentral's name for it is "partial 16S ribosomal RNA". Lineage: Bacteria; Pseudomonadati; Pseudomonadota; Alphaproteobacteria; Rickettsiales; Anaplasmataceae. The record is from RNAcentral.